UGCCAGCAGCCGCGGUAAUACGGAGGGGGGCUGGUGUUACUCAGAAUAAUUGGGCGUAAAGGGUGUGUAGGCUGCUUUUUAAGUUAAAAGUUAAAAACAAGAGCUUAACUUUUGAACAGCUUUUAAAACUAAAAAGCUUGAGUAUAAAAGAGGAUAGUAGUAUUCUUAGUUUAGGGGUUGAAUCCGGAGAAAUUAAGAGGACUUUCAAAGGCGAAGGCAACUUAUCUGGUUUAUAACUGACGCUGAGGCACAAAAGUACAGCCAGCAAACAGGAUUAGAUA
This 281-nucleotide ribosomal RNA is filed under the name uncultured bacterium. RNAcentral describes it as "partial 16S ribosomal RNA". It matches the Rfam family "Bacterial small subunit ribosomal RNA", at positions 506 to 784 of the family's 1533-position model. The record is from RNAcentral.